GUAUCUCUGAUUCUAACAUGGUAUCGAGAGCAUCGUUCGAUCCACCUUGAACCACUCGUCACUUCCGCAGUUGAAUUCCCAAAAGUUUGGGAAUUAUAGUUAUAUGUUUUUCGGGUCAUGUGGUUCUGUUGAAAUUGGUGAAUAUGGUUUUGGUCAAUUCUAUUUCGGUUUCAUUGUUGUUUGGUAUGGUACUUUUCUUUUACUGGCUUUUUCAUUGGUAUAUGUUUCUUUGGUCAAAAUUUGAUUCAUAUGGUUGAAUAACAUAAUUGAAAAUUAGGAGCAAGUGUUGUUCUAAUAUAUUGGUAUGAUGUGGGUACAGUGGCAAAUUGUUUGCUGUUGAUUUGGUUUCAAUUUGAUUGGUAUGGCACGGAAUUAAAAAAAUAAUAAUAAUUGGGUCUUGUGU
RNAcentral lists this long non-coding RNA (403 nucleotides) under Trifolium pratense (red clover). RNAcentral describes it as "long non-coding RNA (TPRA_LNC008754)". The record is from RNAcentral. Lineage: Eukaryota; Viridiplantae; Streptophyta; Magnoliopsida; Fabales; Fabaceae.